This is a long non-coding RNA of Chenopodium quinoa (quinoa), 1041 nucleotides long. RefSeq lists it as uncharacterized. NCBI's taxonomy places the organism in Eukaryota, Viridiplantae, Streptophyta, Magnoliopsida, Caryophyllales, Amaranthaceae. The transcript is spliced from 4 exons. The record is from RefSeq and is a predicted model, not a curated record.
CACGACUAAAUUAAGGCUAAUGCAACGGUAGUUUUAUUACCGUUGUAAUGGCAUAGGCUAAUUCAACGGAUUCACCUCUAAUAUUCUAAGAGGUAAAGCUAAUACAACGGCUCUAAAGAACCGUUGCAUUAGCCUAGGUAUUUCAACAACUAAGAAAGCUGAUGCAACGGUAUGUAUGAAAAAUUAGAUGGCGCGGAAAUUUUCAUGACUUCCCUCUACUUUUUCCCUAAAAAUUUAAAACCCCUUACACGUGUUCCUAUUCUAAGACAAAACUAAAAAGAAAAAAGAAAAGAAAAUUGGAAAAGUAAGAAAGCUGUUUCUCUGAACUAAACCCAUAUUCUCACAUCUUGGCACUAUACCCAUAUUCCCCCAAUUCUCCAUUUUUGAAGCCUUAAAUUACUGUAGGAAAAUUAUUGAAAAAUUUCUGAGAGGAAAAUUAAACAAAGGAAUCUGAGCAAGUAGACGAAGGCGGCACUCAAGUGGUGGCUGAUUGCUUGAAUUUCAGGCGGUGGUUGCGAGUUUCAAGCGGUGGCUGCGAAUUUCAAGCGGUUUCAACAACUCCCAUUUUCAUCUUGCAUGUUCCUGCCUUGUGGUUGAUUGCUCGAGUUGCUGUUUAAGAUUUAAUCCUGAGUUAGUGGUAUACCAUGCUGUAACCGACAUACUAAAUAAAGAUCAACUAGGCAAUCUAAGGCGCCUUGAUUUUGCGAUUCCAUCGGCUCCAAAGGAUGCAUUUAGUGCGCCACAUCUUCUCGUUGACCAAAAUAAGCAAUCUUCUAAAUCUAGGGCCACAAUUAAUCAGGUGCAUGGCGAGCUAAAUGGAGAUGAAGUAUAAUGUCUAGUCAUCUAACAAAUGGUGCAUAUAUGUUGCCGAAUCUAAUUCUAUUAAGUUCAAGUUUGUGAAGAUUUGGAAAUUCCAGCUUAUAUAUAUGUUGAAAUUUGUAUUUUGAACGAUUAAAUUAAUUUUAUAACUUUUAUUUAUUAAUUAGUAGGGUGUCAUAUCGAAAACAAACAAGUAAUAAUUUGUAAAGUACGUAUUUAACA